CCUUCGGCUCCGAGCCGACCGCCACUUCGUUGCAGCAGUAGUGCGCUCGUGUCUUCCGUGUUGUGUUCGUCGUUGGACUUGUUUAUUUUUGUUGCGAUGGCUCUUGAUUUUAAGGCUUGGGGUGAUGUCCUCACCUUCCCUAACUCCAAGAGGAUGAAGGUGUUACUGGAGGCUGUUGACUCUAUUCUAUCCACCAAUCUGCUCUAAGUGAUCGAUGAUGUGUUUUGCGGGCUCCCCAACUGAUCCUUCCGUUUAACUUGUGACUGAAGAUUGCCAAUUAGUGAUCUGUGAUAUAAUCUGUGAUAAUUGUUUUCAUUUGACAUGUAGUAUUUAAUUUAAAAUUUUGACUCGGUUAAUGUUGUGAUGUACCUGAGACUAAUGU
Molecule: long non-coding RNA, 382 nt
Organism: Thrips palmi
Lineage: Eukaryota; Metazoa; Arthropoda; Insecta; Thysanoptera; Thripidae
Exons: 3
Source: RefSeq, a predicted model, not a curated record